UUUCUCCAGCACAGCGGUGAGAGUGUGUGAGCGGGAGUGAGGGACGCUUAUCAACUCGUGCAGUUUCCAGUUAGGUUGAGUGUGCUUGUUGAGUGUUUGUAGAGAGUUGUGCACAGUGACUAGUGUGUGUGUGUUCAGUGUAAGUGGUGGCCAGACACCAGUUUUAAUUGUGUUAGUCCGUGAACCAGACCAAGAUAAUACAUUCAUGAAACUGGUUAAAAACACAAGACAAAAUAUCAGCAAGUUAGUAAAAUUCUUACUAAGAAUGUUUUAUUAAAAUAAAUGCCAAGA
Molecule: long non-coding RNA, 291 nt
Organism: Etheostoma spectabile (orangethroat darter)
Lineage: Eukaryota; Metazoa; Chordata; Actinopteri; Perciformes; Percidae
Exons: 2
Source: RefSeq, a predicted model, not a curated record